ACCUACGGGUGUCAGCAGUUAUUAAUAUUUUUCAAUGUGCUAGAUCCUGAACCAGCCAAGUCGCGUGAGGGAGUACUGCCCUAUGGGUUGUAAACCUCUUUUGUCGGGGAGCAAAAGCCGGACGUGUCCGGCUGUGAGAGUACCCGAAGAAAAAGCAUCGGCUAACUCCGUGCCAGCAGCCGCGGUAAUACGGAGGAUGCGAGCGUUAUCCGGAUUUAUUGGGUUUAAAGGGUGCGCAGGCGGAUUUUUAAGUCAGCGGUCAAAUCGUGGGGCUCAACCCCAUCCAGCCGUUGAAACUGGGGAUC
RNAcentral lists this ribosomal RNA (305 nucleotides) under uncultured bacterium. RNAcentral's name for it is "bacterial SSU rRNA". It matches the Rfam family "Bacterial small subunit ribosomal RNA", at positions 337 to 641 of the family's 1533-position model. The record is from RNAcentral.